CCGUGUGUAGCUCAAUGGUAGAGCAGCUCCCUCUUAAGGAGACGGUUGUAGGUUCGAGCCCUACCACGCGGACAA
This 75-nucleotide transfer RNA is filed under the name Candidatus Yonathbacteria bacterium. Its description in RNAcentral is "tRNA-Lys". It matches the Rfam family "tRNA". Rfam says of the family: Transfer RNA (tRNA) molecules are approximately 80 nucleotides in length. Their secondary structure includes four short double-helical elements and three loops (D, anti-codon, and T loops). Further hydrogen bonds mediate the characteristic L-shaped molecular structure. tRNAs have two regions of fundamental functional importance: the anti-codon, which is responsible for specific mRNA codon recognition, and the 3' end, to which the tRNAs corresponding amino acid is attached (by aminoacyl-tRNA synthetases). tRNAs cope with the degeneracy of the genetic code in two manners: having more than one tRNA (with a specific anti-codon) for a particular amino acid; and 'wobble' base-pairing, i.e. permitting non-standard base-pairing at the 3rd anti-codon position. The record is from RNAcentral. Lineage: Bacteria; Candidatus Yonathiibacteriota.